AAAACGACGGCCAGUACCCGCUGAAUUUAAGCAUAUUAAUAAGCGGAGGAAAAGAAACCAACAGGGAUUCCCUCAGUAAGGGCGACUGAAAUGGGAAGAGCCCAGCGCAUAAGCUCGCUUUGCCUUUUACCGGGCGCGAGCGGUGUUGCGUUUCGGAGGGUCCGGCACGCCGCCUUACGACGCWUAAGUCAKGUUUGAAAGCGGCCACUACCCAUUGAGGGUGAAAGGCCCGUCARGCGGAGCCCKUGCGGGCAGAAGUGAGGCGGUSGGAAAGGACC
RNAcentral lists this ribosomal RNA (278 nucleotides) under Pagurus pubescens. Its description in RNAcentral is "partial large subunit ribosomal RNA". It matches the Rfam family "Eukaryotic large subunit ribosomal RNA", at positions 1 to 268 of the family's 3401-position model. Lineage: Eukaryota; Metazoa; Arthropoda; Malacostraca; Decapoda; Paguridae. The record is from RNAcentral.